RNAcentral lists this long non-coding RNA (305 nucleotides) under Mytilus galloprovincialis (Mediterranean mussel). Lineage: Eukaryota; Metazoa; Mollusca; Bivalvia; Mytilida; Mytilidae. The record is from RNAcentral.
AUGUAGAAGGAAAUGUAAAAAGAUAAUUUGAUACGAGUAAAUACCUUAUAUGAUUUUAUAUAAAUUUCGAAUUCCAUGGGGGUGUAGCAGUGAGGACUUCUGACUGCCGUAACAGUGAUUCCAUAAACAAUCAACUUAUUGUUUUAACAAAAUGGAGGUCCAUGUCCACACCCCCUUUUAUGAAAGAAAUCUACCUCUGGGUAGGUCUUAAAACUUUUUUAUUUUGUCCCUGUAAAGUGAAAAAAUGUAGGGUAUGCCCUACAUCUUUAAAUUAAAACUAAAUUUAAAAUUCAAAUGACCCCCCC